Molecule: small nuclear RNA, 95 nt
Filed under: Myotis brandtii (Brandt's bat)
Lineage: Eukaryota; Metazoa; Chordata; Mammalia; Chiroptera; Vespertilionidae
Source: RNAcentral
AUGCUCACUUUGGCAGUACGUAUACUAAAAUUGGAACGAUAGCAUGGUCCCUGUGCAAGGAUAACAUGCAAAUUUGUGAAGCAUUCCAUAUUUAA